CAGAGGUCCCGAGCGUUGUUCGGAUUCACUGGGCGUAAAGGGUGCGUAGGUGGUGAGGUAAGUCGGAUGUGAAAUCUCCGGGCUCAACCCGGAAAUGGCAUUGGAAACUACCUUGCUGGAGGAUUUGAGGGGGGAUUGGAAUACUUGGUGUAGCAGUGAAAUGCGUAGAUAUCAAGUGGAACACCAGUGGCGAAGGCGAACCCCUGGAAAAUACCUGACACUGAGGCACGAAAGCUAGGGGAGCAAACAGGAUUAGAUACCCUGGUAGUCCUAGCCCUAAACGGUGCUUGCUUGCUGUAAGAGGAAUCGACCCCUCUUGUGGCGGAGCUAACGCGUUAAGCAAGCCGCCUGGGAAGUACGGUCGCAAGAUUA
RNAcentral lists this ribosomal RNA (372 nucleotides) under uncultured organism. RNAcentral describes it as "bacterial SSU rRNA". It matches the Rfam family "Bacterial small subunit ribosomal RNA", at positions 526 to 896 of the family's 1533-position model. The record is from RNAcentral.